RNAcentral lists this long non-coding RNA (354 nucleotides) under Lupinus mutabilis. RNAcentral describes it as "partial ncRNA". The record is from RNAcentral. Lineage: Eukaryota; Viridiplantae; Streptophyta; Magnoliopsida; Fabales; Fabaceae.
AACCUUGCAAGUGUAUUGUGUCUCCCCUUCAGAGCCAUUAACGGAUACUGAUAAACCAUGAAGCAACAAGUUUUUGCACCAUGUGAUUGUAAUCAAGCGACACUGAUCAGAAAUCUUUGUUCUAUACACUGACAUGUAUACACUUUGACCUGAACGAGUCACUGCUCCUUGUUCAUCACUUAACUUCUCUGUAGAAGAAAAACAAGCAGGAAUCCCUAUUGAAUCUUGCAUAGUUAUAAAGUAUGAUGAACUUUGAGAGAGUAGAGAUGAGAAGAUGGAAAUAAUAAUAGGAAGUAGUUUUUUUAUUUUACUUGAAGAUGAAGGAAGUGAGAUUUUGAGAGUGAGAGAUCUUAG